This 416-nucleotide ribosomal RNA is filed under the name uncultured bacterium. RNAcentral's name for it is "bacterial SSU rRNA". It matches the Rfam family "Bacterial small subunit ribosomal RNA", at positions 30 to 449 of the family's 1533-position model. The record is from RNAcentral.
AUUGAACGCUGGCGGCAUGCCUUACACAUGCAAGUCGAACGGCAGCACGGGAGCAAUCCUGGUGGCGAGUGGCGAACGGGUGAGUAAUAUAUCGGAACGUGCCCAGUCGUGGGGAUAACGUAGCGAAAGCUACGCUAAUACCGCAUACGAUCUAUGGAUGAAAGCGGGGGAUCGCAAGACCUCGCGCGAUUGGAGCGGCCGAUAUCAGAUUAGGUAGUUGGUGAGGUAAAGGCUCACCAAGCCGACGAUCUGUAGCUGGUCUGAGAGGACGACCAGCCACACUGGGACUGAGACACGGCCCAGACUCCUACGGGAGGCAGCAGUGGGGAAUUUUGGGACAAUGGGCGCAAGCCUGAUCCAGCAAUGCCGCGUGCAGGAUGAAGGCCUCGGUUGUAACUGACUUUAUACUAGAGAAC